Molecule: long non-coding RNA, 459 nt
Filed under: Cyanistes caeruleus (blue tit)
Lineage: Eukaryota; Metazoa; Chordata; Aves; Passeriformes; Paridae
Description: lncRNA (ENSCCEG00000023212.1)
Source: RNAcentral
AUGCACGUGUGUCACAGAUUACUAGUAUUGACAACUUGUAUUAUCAUGUUGUGUUUAGAGAGCUGUGAUGGACACCCUGGGGUCUGCAGAGCUCCUGCUCCCCAGGGCUUGCUCCCCGUGCUGCUGUCAGUGCCCAGGGAGCAGAGCUGUGCUGCAGGCCAGGCUGUGGCUGCCCACAGCUGCUCCCUCUGCAGAGCUUCCCGGCUGGCAGUGAGCAGCCUGCGCCCCACAGCCUUUGGCAGAAGCAGCUGCACUUUGCCCACCACUACCUCCCUUAGUUACCAGCUAACCACAGCCAAGCCUGUUCAAGAAAAAAAAAUCUAUUUUUUAACUCACAGACAAUGGACAGAGAGCAUGACAAGUUUUCCUGACAGCAAAACCGAAAUUAACACUGAGAGUACGCUGUAUAAUUAUUCCAGUAGAAGAAAUAAAUACAGUUUCAAAGUCAUUGCUCAUUAA